This 216-nucleotide long non-coding RNA is filed under the name Sorghum bicolor (sorghum). RNAcentral's name for it is "long non-coding RNA (SBIC_LNC012263)". The record is from RNAcentral. Lineage: Eukaryota; Viridiplantae; Streptophyta; Magnoliopsida; Poales; Poaceae.
AGAUUAACAGAUUCCCUAGGUGUGGCUAAAAGUGCAUUAUCUUCUUGAUUAAAAGAUAGGACCUCAGCUAUAGAAAAGGGUUGGUUUUGACCUAUUGCAAUCAACUCCGGACACACAUCAUAAUUAGGGGCAGGACGUGUUGACUCCCAAGGUCUAUGGCUGGUUUCCGAAGGUGCAAAGAAUUUAAUAAUAGGUAUGGAAUUUGAGUUAUCCAUA